RNAcentral lists this ribosomal RNA (147 nucleotides) under uncultured bacterium. RNAcentral describes it as "partial 16S ribosomal RNA". It matches the Rfam family "Bacterial small subunit ribosomal RNA", at positions 331 to 478 of the family's 1533-position model. The record is from RNAcentral.
UACUACUCCUACGGGAGGCAGCGGUGGGGAAUUUUCAGCAAUGGGCGAAAGCCUGACGGAGCAAUGCCGCGUGAAGGUAGAAGGCCUACGGGUCAUGAACUUCUGUCCCGGGGAGGAAACAUGUCCGGCUCCAGCGUUUCACCGCCC